Molecule: non-coding RNA, 73 nt
Organism: Phrynosoma platyrhinos (Desert horned lizard)
Lineage: Eukaryota; Metazoa; Chordata; Lepidosauria; Squamata; Phrynosomatidae
Source: the annotation of a GenBank genome assembly
AGCCAAUGAGGCGUAGUGGUUUGAGUGUUGGACUACAGCUCUGGAGACCUGGGUUUGAUUCCCAGCUCGGCUA